Homo sapiens (human) is the source of this 2514-nucleotide long non-coding RNA. NCBI's taxonomy places the organism in Eukaryota, Metazoa, Chordata, Mammalia, Primates, Hominidae. The record is from Ensembl.
AUCCCUAGGAACGGCUGGGACAAAAUGGAAGCCACAUCAACCUCCCUCACUGGCCAGGACAAGACAGGUGAGACACUGGACAGUGACCGCGCAAGGAUGCCCUGCAGCCCCCGUGAUCACCACAGAAGAUGCCACCUGGGGACCGAGGGUGGCUGUGCGUGCCAGCCUUCUGGUGCCCUCCCCGCCUGCGGUCACCUGUCUGAAGAGCAGCUCCUGCUCACUGGGCUGGCGCUGGCCCGGCUCCACCUCCCGUGGGGGCUCUGCCUCUUCCUCAUCGCUCUCAAUGGGCUCCUGCUUCACCUGCACGCCGGCCUGUGCGUGCGCCUCCUUCUGCCCCGGCAGCCGGUCCAGGUAGGGCUCGUCCAGCAGAGCCUGGUGCUCACGGAGCUCCUCCUCCGUCUCCUCCGGGUGGCUCUCCGGCUGCCGGGCUGGCUCGCUUGGCUUGGGGAUGAUCUGCAAGGCGGAGGUAACACAUGAAGCACAGAGAGCUGGGUCCUCUGAGCUCAUCUGACAGGAGAAGGGAUGCUGCAAACCCCACCCUCUGGGGCAGACAAUCAGGGACUCAGGGCACCUUAUCACCCUGCCACAGGCCAGCAGGCACCUUUAUCUCCCAACAGGCACUGGGGUGCCUGAGUGCCUAAGAAAAUAAUGCCCAGUAGGACCCCAGCCCAGGGUCAAGGUGACCUGGCCCAGGGAAGGAGGCUGACUAACAUUUGGGGUUUACUAAGCACCUCUUCUGUGUCAGGCACCGAGAAACAGAAAAGAAGCUGCAGGUGUCAACAGAGUCUGCAGAGGAGAGCUUGAGUGUGAAGGGGAGAGGCCAAUGCUGACCUCACAGCCACAACUGCUAAGAGAAACAGCCCACCACCCACUCAGCGGAAGACAACCACGUCCACAAUGCUCACUGCCCAAUCCCACCAACACGCCACGGCCUCCCCUCCUGCAGGAUCCCACCGAUGUGCCAUGACCUCCCUCCUGCCGGAUCCUGGGAACACUCCAGGACCUCCCUUCCUGCUGAAUCCCAGGGAUGCCACGGCCUCCCCUUCUGCAGGAUCUCAGGGACACCAUGACCUCCUUUCUUGCAGGAUUCCAUGGGUGCUCCAUGACCUGCCCCGCUAUGGGGCCCCAAGAACCGCAACAUCCUCCCUCCUGUGGGACUCCCUAGAUGCCCCCGACCUCUUUUCCUGUUGGAUCUCACGGACGCUUCUCGGUCUCCCUCCCCGGCCUCUCAGUGCGGAACAGGCGGCAGGUGCUCCUCUCCUGCUCCCCGCCUGCUCCUCCGUCUUGGUUUGUCCUGGGCCUGCUCCUCGGCUCAUUUCCCCAUUCUGGAUUCCAAGUAUCAGCGACUCCCAAAGACUGUGAAAGAACGUCCCACAAUCCCAAAGUCCCAGAUCGAGGGGUCUCUCCGGAUGCUCGAUUCAUCUGUCCCCGUGGGGAACGGCCUGAAGGGCAGAUUCGAGGGACGGUGGGACAAGCCGAGUUCCUGGCAGAGAGAGGAGCUACAGCGCGUGGAGGAUGGAUCUCGGCACCGCAUCCGACUGUUUCCAGAAGGAAACUGAGGUGUGCAAGGAAGACUGACACCUGAAAUCCCCCGAGCCCUUGCAUUUCAACACCCUUAGAGCACUGCAUGCUGCUCCACACUCACGCGAGGCGGCCUCUCCAGCAGCCUGAACUACGGGGCACGGGUUGGUGGGCACUCAGUGUCCGCUUGCUCCCAGGGGUCAGCCGUAUCAGACGACACCGGUCCCCACGCAGCAGGGCUGAGACGCAGACUCACACACACACAACAUGGUGAGUUUUCAGCCUCCAGAGCCCUGCUGUGCCUCACUGUGGAACAUCAGAGACUUCAGAUUGGGCGGGGGGUUUGUUUUAUGAUUGAUCAUCCCUUAACUUUCUUUCUAAGAGCAGUUUAAAGUACGGCAGUAAAAGCCGAGUGAAGAAAACGCAGAUCCAUUGUUUAUCUCUAAACCGAAGGCAGCUUUUCUUCAGAAAAGCUUUCAACCUGGCACAGGGAAAUGGAGCCAGGUCCAGCCGGGUGCAGGCAGCGUGGGUGUCGGGGCGGGCCGGCCAUCGGCAGUGUGGGAACCAGUAGGCGGCGUGGCACGUAAGGAACUCAGCUUCAGAAAGCCAAACUCGCAGGGAGGAGAGUGCAGCGGUGGGUGGCCGCGCGUCGGGAACAGGAACGUGCUGUCCACGGGUGAGCGUGCCGUUGGGAGAGGAAUAAGUUCCGGGACCUGAUGCACAGUUUGGUGGCCCCGAUAUUCACGGACCUUACCACAGACACAAUGAGAGCCCCGUGAGGCCAAGGGGGCAUGGAUGAGGUCCCUUGUGGCGAUCAUUUCACAACGCAUACAAGUAUCAAAUCAUCACGCCGUACGCUGUAAAUACAUGCGACUGUUUCCGGUUAGACUUUCACAAAGCCGGGGAGAAACAAGUUCAACUAAGGAAUCUAGCAACAUUGUCCCCAUUUGCUCUGACAGGUUUCUCAGUGGUUGACCAAAAAAAGCAUGUGUU